RNAcentral lists this ribosomal RNA (497 nucleotides) under uncultured bacterium. Its description in RNAcentral is "partial 16S ribosomal RNA". It matches the Rfam family "Bacterial small subunit ribosomal RNA", at positions 28 to 507 of the family's 1533-position model. The record is from RNAcentral.
GAUGAACGCUGGCGGCGUGCCUAACACAUGCAAGUCGAGCGAACAGAUGAGCAGCUUGCCCUUCUGACGUUGGCGGCGGACGGGUGAGUAACACGUGGAUAACCUACCUGUAAACCUGGCAUAACCUCGGGAAUCCGGAGCUAAUACCGCAUAAUAUACUGAACCGCACGGCUCAAUCGCGUAAGACGGGUUUGCCGUCACUUAUAGAUGGAUCCGCGCCGCCUUAGCUAGUUCGUAAGGUAGCGGCUUACCAAGGCCACGACGCGUAGCCGACCCGAGAGGGUACGAGGGCACGCCGGAACUGAGACACGGUCCAGACUACUACGGGAGGCACAAGUAGGGAACCUUCCGCCAUGGGCGAAGGCCUGACGGAGGCACGCCGAGUGAGUGAUGAGGGUGCUCGGAUCGGAGAACUAAGUUAUUAGGGAAGAAGAAAUGUGUAAGUAACUAGGAACGUCUUGACGGUACCUAAUCAAAAAGCCACGGCUAACUACGUG